UUACAAAUAAUUUAUUCUUAUUUCAUAAAUUUGUUCUUCAGCAAAAAAUGCAGUUAUUUUAUACAGAAUUUCAUAUUCAAGGCUAUACAGAACAAAUAUCUCAGAAAAUCAAAAUCAUAGCAAACAAUACAACAGAAGUGAGUCACAAUUUUGUUCAGCUACAUGCACUGAACUGACCGGGGUGAUAUCUAUUUCUAUAGAUUACUUUAUCAGGUCAUAUGGAAUCAUGAUUAAGUAAUGCUUUUCUGCCAGUAUACACUAUUGAUCUGAAACUGCAUCAUAGUCCAUAUAUGGAAGUUCACACAUCCUGAGAACGCGUCCUCUAGAGCUAGUUAGAUGCAGCUUUUUAGAUGUAGGUGAGGACUGGAGUCAGUCAGGGUAGCCUAAGAAGAAUUAAUUUAGCAAGCAGUGGGGAAAAAAUAUCUUUCUUUAUGCCUGCAUUAUUCAUUACUCCCUUCCUCCUUCAUUAUUAACAUUAAAUAAACUUCAAAAAAAAAGGACAUAAGAAGGUCUCUAUUUGACCACUAUUAAAUCCUUCCUCUGUCUCUGACCUGAGGGAAAAAAUGAAUAUGGUCCUUCAAGUAACACCCUUUACUGUAAAAGGGGACCUGCUGGUUGUACAUUCUAGUAAAUCCGAGUACAGUCAUCGUCUUUAAAUCCUUAGUUUAGGCUGGAUGAACCCCAUAAGGCAGAUGGUUGGAGAAGGCCUAAAUACACGUGGAACCAUUUUAGAAACCUGUCUUCAAGGCUGGAUUUGUGGAAAGUGAAGGCUUCCAGGGUGGUGGAAAUGGUCCAGGAGAGGCCGAAGUGAAGAGAGUUCAGAACCACCACGUGCUUCAUGCAGGUAUGAAGGCAGCCCAAGCACCUCCCAGCCCCGAAGCUCCCAGAGCCUCUACCUGGACCGCGUGGCAAGGGCACACGGCCUUAUCCUCUUUCCACUCUGAAGGAACAAGUGGCAGAGUGUCCAGGGCUGUGCAUCCUACUGGCGUUGUUAUUAACUGUGGUCAUACCCUCAUCACAGUAAGAUGUGCCUCACCUCUUUUUUGGCACCCAUUCGCUUGAUCAGAAUAAUUCUGCUCACAGCCUCCAGAAGAGAAAACCAGCCGGGUAGAAAAGUAGGCCUUCCCUGCUAAGCCUUGCUGAGAAAGCAAAUUCAAUGAAGUUUUAACCAGAAUUUUAAAGACUUUUAAAUUUAGCCUUGUUAUGCACCUAAAACCUACCUGACAUGUUUUCUUCUUUUAAAAAAGAUUUGUAUCCUUCUUUAAACUAUACAUUAUUUACAUUUUAAAAGACCUAUUAGGUCUUUAUCAUUUGGGUACGAGCUCAAGGUGAUUAAACAAACUCCCAGGACAAAGAUGAGGCUUUCCAAAAAGCACUGGUUCUUAUCUAUGUGCUAAGGCCUAUUUUUACUAACAAAUUAUUAUUAUAAACUUCUAAAAUAUAAAAUUAAAAUACUUCUUUAAAAAAUUUUCCUGUGAAUUUUCUUUUUUGCAUCCAGGAUAUUAAAAACAGAUUAUGCUUUCUAAUUAGAGGUGGAAUCAAAAGAACAAAUGAAAUUAACGUGGCCCCAUACUUUACCUAGAAACAAGGGUUUAUUUACACGGUAUCUUUCUCAAUGCUGUGAUGAACCGUGAGAAGCAGGGCUAUCUUUACAGCAUGGCUAAAUAACCAACUGAAGACCCUCCACUCCGCAGCAAGUGCUUAUUGCGUAUUUUGGGUGGAGCUGUAAGGCAUGAGAAAGGUAGCCAGUCACUUUUAUAUAUUUGAGGAUAAUUCUGCACAUUCAAGAAAUUUUCCUUGAGAAAUGCCAUGUUUGGAAUAGCUUCCAGAGAUCAUUCAAGAACAAAAAGUAUUAAAGCUUAUGCAUUACAUUUAGAAGCACAAUACAUUGGGGAACAUCUUCAAAAGCUCAAAGAAAAGGCUGUUUUUCCAUUCAGUUAAAUAGUAAAUAAGUUGCAUAUAGGUGUGUGUUCAGAGCUCUCAAAAGUCACAUCCUGCCACAAUUAACAGCUAGAUGAGCAUGUUUGGCCCCUGAUCUAUAAAUAAACACUCUAAUUCUGCAACUUGCUCACAGAUUUUUAAGAAGCUGUUCUAAAACAAAAAAAGCCUACAAACGGAUUAGAAUCUGCAAACCAGAAAUGCAAUACAUUUGUCCUUUUUGUAAAUGACAGUAACAGAGAGUUGUAUUAGCUUUCUGGAAUAGUGACUAAGAAGAACUGACAUCCAUUUUCACGAUUAAGAAAUAAUUAUUCGUGAUACUGAAGAAGUCAAAUCUCCAAUAAAGAAGGCACGUGGGCUCUCUCCAGUCAUACAGCAGUGCUUAGCCCCAGCACUGCAUGCUUCCUUUUCCAGUUUGCCUAGGCUGGUUCGCUUUUUGCUCGGCGAUAUAUAUCAGAGAACAUUGGCAAUCCCUCAAGAAAAUGAUUCAAAAGGUGAUUUACAACUGGUUGGUGCUAUCCUCUAAUGCCUUUUUGCCUUAUGUCCUAAUUUUAUAGAAAUAAAUUAAGGACAUUAAGCCAGGAGAUAAAUACACUACUCAAAAUAUAAUUGGGCUCUAGUGCUCAAAAGCUACUGGAUAUGUGGGUAAGCUGCCAAAUAAAAUUUCUUACCUACCUAUUUGAACAUUAACACCCUGGAGUUCACAUGCUUUUCUAGAGACAAAAUUUAAGAUUCAAGCGACACUGUUCACAGUUGCCCUAUUCUGGCUGUUUAAAUCUAAUCCUUCUCCUCCCUUUCCCAUGCUUUCUUCUUAUCUUUUUUAUAUCUGACACUUUUUAAAAAUGAUUUUCUCCAGACUUGUUUUUUCUAAGACAUGUUUCAUAAAUUACAACACAAAGAUUUUAGAAGCAAAAAAAGGCUAGAGAACUUUAGUUGAUCUUAGUUAAUUUUGGAGAUUUAAGCAUUCAAGCUCAUAUAAAUGUGGGUUUUUAAAAAUUUUAUUACACUCUCUCUGAAAUUCAGACACUUAAUGACAUCACAGUUUAGGCACUUUGGAUGAGCCACAUUUCAUAAUGGUAAGAAUACUAUUAACCUUCCAAUAGUUAUUGUCAUUAGUGUGUUUAUUAAUUAACAGUGAUGAUAAAUUUUUCAGUUCUAUACAUAUGCCCACUAUUCCCUCACCUGUACUGUGCAUUAAAUUUUCAAGUUAUCUUUAACUAUAGAAGCAGACAAAAAGAAAGAAAGGAAGAAAGAAAAAAGAAACUGAUUGUGGGUAAGUUAGAAUUUUAAUUGAAAUAAGGUUCUAUGCAUUGCACUCACGCUAAUAGAAGAAAAUUCAGUGACUUAGGACAUUCUGUUUAUGACCAAGGUUAGAUUCUGGUCCCUUGGCAGAAAGCCUUUCUGGUGCUUCUAACUCUGUUCCAGCAGAAGACAAAGGGUAACAGCUGUAAUAAUAUGAAUGGAUCCUUGCCCAAUGCCUUACAUACAGUAGGUACUCAAUGAUUACUAAAGGGAUUACAUUAACAAAUGAAUGAACAUCAACUCAAAGGAUGCAGAGAGAGUGAAGUCAGCAGUGGCAAACUUCAACAGAUGAAGAACUAGAUGGUAAAAACCAUUUAAGUGGCUGAUCAUAUUUUAAGAUUUUAUAAUCUAAUUUCAAAGACAGCCAUACCAUACUUUGCUCUAUUUUAAAAUUACAGUCAAUUAAAAGAAUAUGUAAACACACACACACACACACACACACAUUUAGUAUCUAUGUGCUUGGCCAGGCAUCAUAGCCAUGCAAACUAGAAAACACUCACAAUUGAGCAAACAAUUGUCCCAAUAUUCUAACGUCAAUUUGAAAACAGUUCUGUCACCUUGGUCCAAUGGUAAAACCUUGAAAUGCAGAUAACUCCUACCAUCCCUGUCACCUAUUAUAAUUUUGUGCAGAUUAACUAAUUAAAGCUAUGAAGAGUUUUGAAGAUAAAAAUUUCCUGUUUUUUUUUAUUGCUGUUAGCCCUCAGAUUCAGCACCAAAUCCUGGGGAAAAAAAAAAAAAGAUAAAAAU
Molecule: long non-coding RNA, 3987 nt
Organism: Galeopterus variegatus (Sunda flying lemur)
Lineage: Eukaryota; Metazoa; Chordata; Mammalia; Dermoptera; Cynocephalidae
Exons: 2
Source: RefSeq, a predicted model, not a curated record